AGAGUUUGAUCCUGGCUCAGAAUCAACGCUGGCGGCGCGCUUAACACAUGCAAGUCGCACGAGAAAGUGGAGCAAUCCAUGAGUAAAGUGGCGUACGGGUGAGUAACACGUGGAUCAUCUACCUCUUGGUGGGGAAUAACCAUGGGAAACCGUGGCUAAUACCGCAUAAGCCUGCGAAGGGAAAGCAGCAAUGCGCCGAGAGAGGAGUCCGCGGCCGAUUAGCUAGUUGGUAGGGUAAUGGCCUACCAAGGCAAUGAUCGGUAGCCGGCCUGAGAGGGCACACGGCCACACUGGCACUGAAACACGGGCCAGACUCCUACGGGAGGCAGCAGUGGGGAAUCUUGCACAAUGGAGGAAACUCUGAUGCAGCGACGCCGCGUGAGUGAUGAAGCCCUUCGGGGUGUAAAGCUCUUUCGGCAGGAACGA
RNAcentral lists this ribosomal RNA (426 nucleotides) under uncultured bacterium. RNAcentral's name for it is "bacterial SSU rRNA". It matches the Rfam family "Bacterial small subunit ribosomal RNA", at positions 8 to 448 of the family's 1533-position model. The record is from RNAcentral.